CGGGCAAUCAGAUUGAGAGAGUCCUCAUAUGUUGGCUCCCAGUACUUUGCUUUGGGAAUCCCUUUGUCAUAUGCUUUUUGAAAUUCACUUUGAACCUGAAGAGCCAUAACACCAGAUGCAAAUUGAGUCAUUGGAUGAGCUGUGACAGGUAAAGCAUCAAUUGCCUUGUACACAUAAUCUGGAACAGUGGCACGAUCACGUAAUUCCUUUGACAAUGCAUCAACUUGUUCUUUGCUUGGUACCUUUCCAGUUAAAAGAAGCCAAAGAAGACCCUCAGGUAAAG
RNAcentral lists this unclassified non-coding RNA (283 nucleotides) under Hevea brasiliensis (rubber tree). Lineage: Eukaryota; Viridiplantae; Streptophyta; Magnoliopsida; Malpighiales; Euphorbiaceae. The record is from RNAcentral.